UCCGGCUUAUCACCGGCGGUUUCUUUAGAGUGCCCAACUAAAUGAUGGCAACUAAAGACGAGGGUUGCGCUCGUUGAGGGACUUAACCCGACAUCCCACGACACGAGCUGACGACAGCCAUGCAGCACCUGUCUCCGGUCCAGCCGAACUGAAAAGCUCCAUCUCUGGUGCUCGCGACCGGGAUGUCAAAGGCUGGUAAGGUUCUGCGCGUUGCUUCGAAUUGAACCACAUGCUCCACCGCUUGUGCGGGUCCCCGUCAAUUCCUUUGAGUUUUAAUCUUGCGACCGUACUCCCCAGGCGGAAUGCUUAAAGCGUUAGCUGCGCCACUAGUGAGUAAACCCACUAACGGCUGGCAUUCAUCGUUUACGGCGUGGACUAC
RNAcentral lists this unclassified non-coding RNA (379 nucleotides) under uncultured Alphaproteobacteria bacterium. RNAcentral's name for it is "contains 16S-23S intergenic spacer region". Lineage: Bacteria; Pseudomonadati; Pseudomonadota; Alphaproteobacteria. The record is from RNAcentral.